Molecule: non-coding RNA, 29 nt
Filed under: Rattus norvegicus (Norway rat)
Lineage: Eukaryota; Metazoa; Chordata; Mammalia; Rodentia; Muridae
Source: RNAcentral
UGGGCUGGUGACGUCUAUGAUUUUACAUA